This 586-nucleotide long non-coding RNA is filed under the name Musa acuminata (dwarf banana). RNAcentral describes it as "long non-coding RNA (MACU_LNC010416)". The record is from RNAcentral. Lineage: Eukaryota; Viridiplantae; Streptophyta; Magnoliopsida; Zingiberales; Musaceae.
GCGUCGGGCAUCGGGCCAAGGAGAGCGAAAUUGCGCUAAGGAUAUCGGGGUUGCGGAGGUCAACCGCCGAUUGGGCAACAAGCCGCAAGAGAGGACGAUGCACCGAAGAAUCGGAUGAAGCGCCAACCAAUGACGUGCCGGGCAACAGAAUGUCAAUUUGCGUUAUAAUAAUUGUCUAGAUCGGAGUAGAGUGUUUGCUUGUGUGUGCAGGAUUAACUACGAUAACGACAAAGACAUAAAGCAAGGAUACCGGAGUCGAGCUCGAUGGACGUUUAAGAGACCGAAGAAUCAUUGGAGAUGCUGCCGGAACCAUCCGAGAAGAAAUCGGGAACGUGUCGGAAGUUCGCCGAAGAAAUCGUCGGAGGCUUGCGGAGAUCAUCGAGAAGGCUCGGCUACUCGUUAAAAGUCAUCACAAAGAUUGGGAGCUUGCAGGGAGUCCGUCGGAAGAAGUUCGUCGGAAAGCUCGCCGGAACAAGACUCGACGUUCGCGGUUGAAAAUUUGCUUAGGAUGUGUUUUGGUUAUGUAGUCCACUUGUAAUUAGGAUUAGGAUUAAGAGAUAAUCCUAUAUCCUGGUUAGGGGCCAAC